AUCCAGUUGAUGAGUCCAAAAUAGGACGAAACAUGAGUCCUGGAU
Molecule: non-coding RNA, 45 nt
Filed under: Schistosoma haematobium
Lineage: Eukaryota; Metazoa; Platyhelminthes; Trematoda; Strigeidida; Schistosomatidae
Source: RNAcentral